Molecule: ribosomal RNA, 365 nt
Filed under: uncultured eukaryote
Lineage: Eukaryota
Description: partial 18S ribosomal RNA
Rfam family: Eukaryotic small subunit ribosomal RNA
Source: RNAcentral
CAAUAGCGUAUAUUAACGUUGUUGCAGUUAAAAAGCUCGUAGUUGGAUUUCUGGAGGGAGCGUCGGCCCGUAUUUACGAGUGCGUGACGUCUCUGUCCAUCCUUGCGGGAAGGCACGGCAUUGAUUUGUUGUGUCGGAUCGCAUCAUUUACUGUGAAAAAAUUAGAGUGUUCAAAGCAGGCUUUCGCUUGAAUACAUUAGCAUGGAAUAAUAAGAUAGGACUUUGGUGCUAUUUUGUUGGUUGAGCCUAAAGUAAUGAUUAAUAGGGAUAGUUGGGGGCACCUGAAUUGCGUUGUCAGAGGUGAAAUUCUUGGAUUUACGCAAGACAAACAGCUGCGAAAGCGUCUGCCAAGGAUGUUUUCAUUA